This 736-nucleotide ribosomal RNA is filed under the name uncultured bacterium. RNAcentral's name for it is "bacterial SSU rRNA". It matches the Rfam family "Bacterial small subunit ribosomal RNA", at positions 216 to 946 of the family's 1533-position model. The record is from RNAcentral.
CACCGAGGGAGGGGUUCGCGUUCUAUCAGGUUGUUGGUGAGAUAACAGCUCACCAAGCCUAUGACGGAUAGCUGGCCUGAGAGGGCGAUCAGUCCGAGGGACACUGAGACACGGGUCCCACUCCUACGGGAGGCAGCAGGCUAGAAAUUUGGGCAAUGGUCGAAAGGCUGACCCAGCGACGCUGCGUGUGGGAUGAAGCCCCUCGGGGCGUAAACCACUUUUCAGAAGGAAGAGGGUUCAUGCGGUUAAUACCCGUAUGGAUUGACGGUACUUCUGGAAUAAGCUCUGGCUAACCCCGUGCCAGCAGCCGCGGUAAGACGGGGAGAGCAAGCGUUGCCCGGAAUCAUUGGGCUUAAAGGGGGCGUAGGCGGUUAGGUAUGUCAGGCGUGUAAAUUAUCGGCUCAACUGAUAACCUGCGUUUGAAACUACCUAGCUAGAGGGCGAAAGAGGAGAGCGGAACUCCCGGUGUAGCGGUGAAAUGCGUAGAUAUCGGGGGGAACACCAGCAGCGAAGGCGGCUCUCUGGUUCGAUCCUGACGCUGAGGCCCGAAAGCCAGGGUAGCGAAGGGAAUUAGAUACUCCCGUAGUCCUGGCCGUAAACGAUGAGCACUUGGUGUGGGGGGUUUAACCCUCUGUGCCGUAGGGAAACCGUUAAGUGCUCCGCCUGGGAAGUACGCUCGCAAGGGUGAAACUCGAAGGAUUGACGGGAGCCCGCACAAGCGGUGGAGCGCGUGUUC